CUGAAGGGGGGACAGGCUGUAGGCAAGGCGGCGGUGUGAGGAAAGGUGUCAGGAGAGAGGAGCUCCUUUGGAGGGAGUUAAAUGAGGCGAUGUGUCAGGCAGGCCGCCACAGCCACAAGAGACUGGAGCUUGGGGAGGCAGAGAUUUGAGAGGCAUCAGUACAAAGAUGUGCAUGUACAUGUGUGCAUGUCUGGAAGACAGAGAGAAAUUUGUGGGAGUUAGUUCUUCCUACCAUGGAGGUCUCAAGACUGAUCCACAGCAAGUGCCUGAGGCCUUUAUAUUUCUUCUUACAGAAACAUCUAAAGGAGAGAUCACAUCCUUCAGGCAGUGCUACGGAACUGAAACAGGACUGGAACUCUGCCCGCUGCCCUGCGAGACUUGGAGCACGUGUUCUCCACUCUCUGCAGAGACACAUAAGUCUCAUCUAAGGCUCCCUCUCAUGAGGCCAGUGGAAAAUGCAUGGGUGUGACAGCAUGUGCUCCUGGAAUUGGUGUGUCAUCAGAACAAGGAGAAAGUAUGAGGAGGCGGGCGGAAGAGCACACAGGGAUGUGUUGGUGGCCAUUUCCCAGGCUUCUCAGGAGCAGACUGGCUGAUUCUGUUACAGAGAGUUUCCUUGACUGCAUGGCGAUUUAUAUCUUCACUUCAGCUUCUGCCAUGGAGAGCUCAAUAAAUCAGUGUGUGGUUUAAUACAAGUUGCACACAAGGAACGGAAUGAACGUUUAUGACUGAGAAGGUAAACAAAAAGAGUCGAAGGCUUGGUGAUCAUACUUUGAAACUGCCAUGCCGAGGACCAAUUCCAACUUGAGGAGUGAAGGAGUGGCCCACAACUGUGGAGUGGGCAGAGAGGAGUCUCUCAGAAUCCUGCUGGUGCUCCGCUGAGGAGCCUCCAAGUUGGGGGGUUGGAAGCAGAUUGCUUUCUCCAUUUUUCACUCUCCCCUCCACCCACAGCCACAGAAUGUAGGCACAGAGGUGGUCUUAGAGUGGGUCCAGAGAGAUGGCUCAGCAGUUAAGGACACUGGCAGCUCUUCCAGAGGAUCGGGGUACAAAUCCCAGCAUCCACAUGGUAGCUCACUGCAGUCUGUAAUUCCAAGAUCUUACACUCUCACAUAGUCAUACAUGUAGGUAAAACAC
This is a long non-coding RNA of Mus musculus (house mouse), 1131 nucleotides long. RefSeq annotates it as predicted gene, 41302. The record is from RefSeq and is a predicted model, not a curated record. The transcript is spliced from 3 exons. NCBI's taxonomy places the organism in Eukaryota, Metazoa, Chordata, Mammalia, Rodentia, Muridae.